AUGAAAUCCCCCUUGGUUUCGAUCGACGAUGGUGAUUUCUGGUACAGCAGCGAUAAGUUCAAAUCGACAGAGACGGUGACACUCUCAGGGGAGUUGAUGAGAGGAUGCAAUAAGUGGUUUUGUAUUAAGGUUGUGUUGAAAACUUCUGAUGUCAUUUGGCGGGAGUUUGAGAAUGUUAUGACGAGAUCACGCCUCUGUGCCUUUCUUCUCAUUUGA
Non-coding RNA from Vicia faba (fava bean), 216 nucleotides. The record is from the annotation of a GenBank genome assembly. NCBI's taxonomy places the organism in Eukaryota, Viridiplantae, Streptophyta, Magnoliopsida, Fabales, Fabaceae.